Molecule: ribosomal RNA, 437 nt
Filed under: Capnocytophaga granulosa
Lineage: Bacteria; Pseudomonadati; Bacteroidota; Flavobacteriia; Flavobacteriales; Flavobacteriaceae
Description: bacterial SSU rRNA
Rfam family: Bacterial small subunit ribosomal RNA
Source: RNAcentral
GAUGAACGCUAGCGGCAGGCCUAACACAUGCAAGUCGAGGGAGAAGCCCUUCGGGGCAGAAACCGGCGCACGGGUGCGUAACGCGUAUGCAACCUACCUUUCACAGGGGGAUAGCCCGAAGAAAUUUGGAUUAAUACCCCAUAAUAUUAUUGGAUGGCAUCAUUUGAUAAUUAAAAUUACGAUGGUGAAAGAUGGGCAUGCGUCCUAUUAGCUAGUUGGAGUGGUAACGGCACCCCAAGGCUACGAUAGGUAGGGGUCCUGAGAGGGAGAUCCCCCACACUGGUACUGAGACAGGGACCAGACUCCUACGGGAGGCAGCAGUGAGGAAUAUUGGUCAAUGGUCGGAAGACUGAACCAGCCAUGCCGCGUGCAGGAAGAAUGCCUUAUGGGUUGUAAACUGCUUUUAUAUGGGAAGAAUAAGGAGUACGUGUACUUGA